AUAAGUGAUCUCUUAUUCUUCUUUUUGGUGUCUACUCGUUGGAUUCCAUUUUUCUGUUUUGAGACUAAACUUGUUUAAAACAUUUUGUAAAGCAUAGUUUCUAUAGUUGUGCAGUUUUUUCUGUUUUAGGCUAAAGUUGUUUAAAGCAUAGUUUCUAUUUGUGCAAUUCAGUGUGUGUUAUUAUGAUGAACCACAAAUUCAUGGAAUUUCAAUCAAAAAGAAGAAGAAAAAAAAACAAAAUUAAUACUCAAAGAAGCACAGCACGCACGGUUUCACGUUUUUGCUUUCUCUUUCUC
RNAcentral lists this long non-coding RNA (296 nucleotides) under Trifolium pratense (red clover). Its description in RNAcentral is "long non-coding RNA (TPRA_LNC009858)". Lineage: Eukaryota; Viridiplantae; Streptophyta; Magnoliopsida; Fabales; Fabaceae. The record is from RNAcentral.